GCACCCUUAGCUCAACUGGAUAGAGCAUCGGUCUACGGAACCGAAGGUUGCAGGUUCGAAUCCUGCAGGGUGUA
Molecule: transfer RNA, 74 nt
Filed under: Pirellulaceae bacterium
Lineage: Bacteria; Pseudomonadati; Planctomycetota; Planctomycetia; Pirellulales; Pirellulaceae
Description: tRNA-Arg
Rfam family: tRNA
About the family: Transfer RNA (tRNA) molecules are approximately 80 nucleotides in length. Their secondary structure includes four short double-helical elements and three loops (D, anti-codon, and T loops).
Source: RNAcentral